Triticum aestivum (bread wheat) is the source of this 115-nucleotide non-coding RNA. Lineage: Eukaryota; Viridiplantae; Streptophyta; Magnoliopsida; Poales; Poaceae. The record is from Rfam.
GAAGUACUCCCUCCGUUCGGAAUUACUUGUCGCAAAAAUGGGUGUAUCUAGACGUAUUUUAGUUCUAGAUACAUCCAUUUCCGAGACAAGUAAUUCCGAACGGAGGGAGUACUAC